CAAAGUAUAGUUUAAUUAAAAUUUUAAUUUUGGAGAUUAAAGAUGAGAGUUUCUUUACUUUGA
Molecule: transfer RNA, 63 nt
Filed under: Staphylinoidea sp. 12 KM-2017
Lineage: Eukaryota; Metazoa; Arthropoda; Insecta; Coleoptera
Description: tRNA-Pro
Source: RNAcentral